UCCGGGUGCGUAAUAUAUGAAAAUUUACCCAAUAGAUUAGGAAAUUAAAAUACUAUAUAAAGAUUUAUCACUAUUGGAUGUUUUUGUACAUGAUUAGGUAGUUGGUUAGGUAAAAGCUGACCAAGCCGAUGAUCGUUAGUUGGUCUUAGCGGAUGAUCAGCCACAUUGGAACUGAAAUACGGUCCAAACUCUAGAAGCGGAGGCUGCAGUGGGGAAUAUUGGACAAUGAGCGAAAGCUUGAUCCAGCAAUAUUUUGUUUGUUUUAGCAAUGUAAAAGUUGCGGGACAAUGUUGUUAGCUAAAUUUAAAGAAAUAAAUCGUGAAGAGAUUAUGACAAAAGCUAAAGAGGAAGCCCUGGCUAACUUCGUGCCAGCAGCAGCGGUAAUACGGGGGGGGCGAGCGUUAUUCAUCUUGAAUGGGCG
This 421-nucleotide ribosomal RNA is filed under the name uncultured bacterium. Its description in RNAcentral is "bacterial SSU rRNA". It matches the Rfam family "Bacterial small subunit ribosomal RNA", at positions 100 to 560 of the family's 1533-position model. The record is from RNAcentral.